GAUGAAGAACGUAGCGAAAUGCGAUAAGUAAUGUGAAUUGCAGAAUUCAGUGAAUCAUCGAACCUUUGAACGCACAUUGCGCCCCUUGGUAUUCCGAGGGGCAUGCCUGUUCGAGCGUCAUUAUAACCCCUCAAGCUCAGCUUGGUGUUGGGGCCUGCCGCACGGGCAGCCCUUAAAAUCAGUGGCGGUGCCAUCUGGCUCUAAGCGUAGUAAUUCUUCUCGCUAUAGAGUCCCGGUGGAUGCUUGCCAUUAACCCCCAAUUUUCUAUGGUUGACCUCGGAUCAGGUAGGGAUACCCGCUGAACUUAAGCAUAUCAAUAAGCGGAGGA
Molecule: unclassified non-coding RNA, 328 nt
Filed under: soil metagenome
Description: partial contains 5.8S ribosomal RNA, internal transcribed spacer 2, and large subunit ribosomal RNA
Rfam family: 5.8S ribosomal RNA (bases 1-120)
Source: RNAcentral